Molecule: ribosomal RNA, 754 nt
Filed under: uncultured bacterium
Lineage: Bacteria
Description: bacterial SSU rRNA
Rfam family: Bacterial small subunit ribosomal RNA
Source: RNAcentral
AGAGUUUGAUCAUGGCUCAGAAUGAACGUUGGCGGCGUGGAUUAGGCAUGCAAGUCGAGCGAGAAGUUUACUUCGGUAAAUGGACAGCGGCGAAAGGGACAGUAAUGUGUAGGUACCUACCCCCCGAUCUGGGAUAGCUGCGGGAAACUGCAGGUAAUACCGGAUAAUGUCUUCGGACCAAAGGUGUGAUUCCGUCAGGGGAGGGGCCUGCAUCCUAUUAGCUUGUUGGUGAGGUAAUGGCUCACCAAGGCAACGAUGGGUAGCGGGUGUGAGAGCAUGACCCGCGUCAUUGGGACUGAGACACUGCCCAGACAUCUACGGAUGGCUGCAGUCGAGAAUCUUCGGCAAUGGGCGAAAGCCUGACCGAGCGACGCCGCGUGCGGGAUGAAGGCCCUCGGGUUGUAAACCGCUGUCGUUGGGGAGGAAAUGCAAAAGGGUUAUCCCUUCUGUUUGACCGAUCCAAGGAGGAAGUACGGGCUAAGUUCGUGCCAGCAGCCGCGGUAAGACGAACCGUACGAACGUUAUUCGGAAUUACUGGGCUUAAAGGGUGCGUAGGCUGCACGGAAAGUUGGGUGUGAAAGCCCUCAGCUCAACUGAGGAAUUGCAUCCAAAACUGCCGUGCUUGAGGGAGACAGAGGUGAGCGGAACUCAAGGUGGAGCGGUGAAAUGCGUUGAUAUCUUGAGGAACACCGGUGGCGAAAGCGGCUCACUGGGUCUCUUCUGACGCUGAGGCACGAAAGCUAAGGUAGCAAAC